AUACCGCGUGAGUGAAGAAGGCUCCGGGUUGUAAAGCUCUUUCGCAAGGGAAGAAAACUGUGAUCGAAUAAAUCAUGAGGUUGACGCGUCCUUGAUAAGAAGCACCGGCUAACUACGUGCCAGCAGCCGCGGGUAAUACGUAGGGUGCGAGCGUGAAUCGGAAUUACUGGGCGUAAAGCGUGCGCAGGCGGUUUAGUAAGUCGGAUGUGAAAUCCCCGGGCUCAACCUGGGAACUGCGUUCGAAACUGCAAGGCUAGAGUGUGUCAGAGGGGGGUAGAAUUCCACGUGUAGCAGUGAAAUGCGUAGAGAUGUGGAGGAAUACCAAUGGCGAAGGCAGACCCCUGUGAUAACACUGACGCUCAUGCACGAAAGCGUGGGGAGCAAACAGGAUUAGAUACCCUGGUAGUCCACGCCCUAAACGAUGUCAACUAGUUGUUGGUAGAGUAAAAUCUAUGAGUAACGUAGCUAACGCGUGAAGUUGACCGCCUGGGGAGUACGGUCGCCAGAUUAAACCUCAAAGGAAUUGACGGGGGCUCGCACAAGCGGUGGAUUAUGUGGAUUAGUUCGAUGCCACGCGAGGACCUUACCUGGCCUUGACAUGUACCGGAUUGAGCAGAGAUG
RNAcentral lists this ribosomal RNA (621 nucleotides) under uncultured archaeon. Its description in RNAcentral is "bacterial SSU rRNA". It matches the Rfam family "Bacterial small subunit ribosomal RNA", at positions 394 to 1008 of the family's 1533-position model. The record is from RNAcentral.